This 450-nucleotide ribosomal RNA is filed under the name Triticum aestivum (bread wheat). RNAcentral's name for it is "partial small subunit ribosomal RNA". Lineage: Eukaryota; Viridiplantae; Streptophyta; Magnoliopsida; Poales; Poaceae. The record is from RNAcentral.
AUGAAAAUCGGAGAAGCUCCUACAGAAGAUGAGGCAUAUGGAACCUCCCAUGCAGAAUCUCAGUUCCACCAAGAUGAGCCUGUUGGAAGAAAGUGGUUUGAGCUACUCAAAGCACAGAAAUCAGCCAGCGCACCAUCGUUGAGAGGCCAAGGAUGUCAGACGAGAGAAGCAAACGACGACGCAUCAGCCAUAUGUGGAGUAGUGACAGAUAAUGGGUACUGCAAACUGGCACCAGUGACAGGAAGGGAAAGAUGCGAGGAGCACGGAGGAAUUGAGGUCACUGGUGCUUCAUCGGCACCAUGUUCCGGAAGGUCGGGAUGGCCAUCUGUCUGUGGAGCUCGAGCAUCCGAUGGUUCACCUUGCAAGAAUCAGCCAAUCGCAAGGAGGAAGAGAUGUGCGUUGCACAAAGGUCAAAGAGGGUGCUGCGCCUCCACGCCAUCCAUCAAAUAA